This 260-nucleotide ribosomal RNA is filed under the name uncultured dinoflagellate. Its description in RNAcentral is "partial 18S ribosomal RNA". The stretch from base 94 to 260 matches the Rfam family "Eukaryotic small subunit ribosomal RNA", at positions 735 to 903 of the family's 1831-position model. The record is from RNAcentral. Lineage: Eukaryota; Dinophyceae.
UUUCUGCUGAGGACGACCGGUCCGCCCUCUGGGUGAGCAUCUGGCUCGGCCUCGGCAUCUUCUUGGAGAACGUAACUGCACUUGACUGUGUGGUGCGGUACUCAAGACUUUUACUUUGAGGAAAUUAGAGUGUUUCAAGCAGGCGCAUGCCUUGAAUACAUUAGCAUGGAAUAAUGAGAUAGGACCUUGGUUCUAUUUUGUUGGUUUCUAGAGCUGAGGUAAUGAUUAAUAGGGAUAGUUGGGGGCAUUCGUAUUUAACU